UACGAAGGGGGCUAGCGUUGCUCGGAAUCACUGGGCGUAAAGGGUGCGUAGGCGGGUCUUUAAGUCAGGGGUGAAAUCCUGGAGCUCAACUCCAGAACUGCCUUUGAUACUGAGGAUCUUGAGUACGGGAGAGGUGAGUGGAACUGCGAGUGUAGAGGUGAAAUUCGUAGAUAUUCGCAAGAACACCAGGGGCGAAGGCGGCUCACUGGCCCGUAACUGACGCUGAGGCACGAAAGCGUGGGGAGCAAACAGG
This 253-nucleotide ribosomal RNA is filed under the name uncultured bacterium. Its description in RNAcentral is "partial 16S ribosomal RNA". It matches the Rfam family "Bacterial small subunit ribosomal RNA", at positions 524 to 776 of the family's 1533-position model. The record is from RNAcentral.